GAUGAACGCUGGCGGCGUGCUUAACACAUGCAAGUCGAACGGAAAGGCGCUGCUCUUGUGGGGUGCUCGUUUGGCGAAGGGGGGAGUAACACGCGAGUAACCUGCCCUUGUCUGAGGGAUAUCUUCAGGAAACUGGGGCGAUUACCGCAUAGGAUCUCCUGCUGCAUGUUGGUGGUUGGAAAGUGUCGGCGGUUGGGGAUGGUCUCGCGGCUUAUCAGCUAGUUGGUGGGGUAGUGGCUUACCAAGGGUUCGACGGGUAGCCGGCCUGAGAGGGUGACCGGCCACAUUGGGACUACGGGACGCCGCAGACUGCUAUGGGACGCAGUAGGCGGGAACAUGACGGAGUGAGCGCGCGUGAGAGACGGAAGCGCUGCGUGCGGGAUGCCGGCCUUCGAGUUGUGAACCGCUGUCGCAUGUGACGAAGCGUGCGUGACGGUAAUGGGUAAGGAAGCACCGGCUAACUACGUG
RNAcentral lists this ribosomal RNA (468 nucleotides) under uncultured bacterium. RNAcentral's name for it is "partial 16S ribosomal RNA". It matches the Rfam family "Bacterial small subunit ribosomal RNA", at positions 28 to 507 of the family's 1533-position model. The record is from RNAcentral.